Molecule: ribosomal RNA, 501 nt
Filed under: uncultured bacterium
Lineage: Bacteria
Description: partial 16S ribosomal RNA
Rfam family: Bacterial small subunit ribosomal RNA
Source: RNAcentral
AUUGAACGCUGGCGGCAGGCUUAACACAUGCAAGUCGAGCGGGGGAAGGUAGCUUGCUACCGGACCUAGCGGCGGACGGGUGAGUAAUGCUUAGGAAUCUGCCUAUUAGUGGGGGACAACAUCUCGAAAGGGAUGCUAAUACCGCAUACGUCCUACGGGAGAAAGCAGGGGAUCUUCGGACCUUGCGCUAAUAGAUGAGUCUAAGUCAGAUUAGCUAGUUGGUGGGGUAAAGGCCUACCAAGGCGACGAUCUGUAGCGGGUCUGAGAGGAUGAUCCGCCACACGGGGACUGAGACACGGCCCAGACUCCUACGGGAGGCAGCAGUGGGGAAUAUUGGACAAUGGGGGGAACCCCGAUCCAGCCAUGCCGCGUGUGUGAAGAUGGCCUUAUGGUUGUAAAGCACUUUAAGCGAGGAGGAGGCUACUUUAGUUAAUACCUAGAGAUAGUGGACGUUACUCGCAGAAUAAGCACCGGCUAACUCUGUGCCAGCCGCCGCAGUAA